GACGAACGCUGGCGGUGUGCUUAACACAUGCAAGUCGAACGGUAAGGCCCUUUCGGGGGUACACGAGUGGCGAACGGGUGAGUAACACGUGAGUAACCUGCCCUCAUCUCUGGGAUAACAGUCGGAAACGGUUGCUAAUACUGGAUAUGAGCCUGCAAGGCAUCUUGUGGGUUGGAAAGAUUUUUUGGUUGGGGAUGGACUCGCGGCCUAUCAGCUUGUUGGUGAGGUAGUGGCUCACCAAGGCUUCGACGGGUAGCCGGCCUGAGAGGGCGACCGGCCACAUUGGGACUGAGAUACGGCCCAAACUCCUACGGGAGGCAGCAGUGGGGAAUAUUGCACAAUGGACGGAAGUCUGAUGCAGCAACGCCGCGUGCGGGAUGACGGCCUUCGGGUUGUAAACCGCUUUCAAUUGUGACGAAGCUUUUUGUGACGGUAGCAGUAGAGGAAGCACCGGCUAACUACGUG
Molecule: ribosomal RNA, 465 nt
Filed under: uncultured bacterium
Lineage: Bacteria
Description: partial 16S ribosomal RNA
Rfam family: Bacterial small subunit ribosomal RNA
Source: RNAcentral